This 499-nucleotide ribosomal RNA is filed under the name uncultured bacterium. Its description in RNAcentral is "bacterial SSU rRNA". It matches the Rfam family "Bacterial small subunit ribosomal RNA", at positions 30 to 524 of the family's 1533-position model. The record is from RNAcentral.
AUUGAACGCUGGCGGUAUGCUUAACACAUGCAAGUCGAACGGUAACAGGCUUUCGGGCGCUGACGAGUGGCGGACGGGUGAGUAACGCGUAGGAAUCUGCCUUAUAGUGGGGGACAACGUGGGGGAAACCCACGCUAAUACCGCAUACGCCCUACGGGGGAAAGCGGGGGAUCUUAGGACCUCGCGCUAUGAGAUGAGCCUGCGUUAGAUUAGCUAGUUGGUAGGGUAAAGGCCUACCAAGGCGACGAUCUAUAGCUGGUCUGAGAGGACGAUCAGCCACACUGGGACUGAGACACGGCCCAGACUCCUACGGGAGGCAGCAGUGGGGAAUAUUGGACAAUGGGCGCAAGCCUGAUCCAGCAAUACCGCGUGUGUGAAGAAGGCCCUAGGGUUGUAAAGCACUUUCAAUGGGGAGGAAAACCUGCCGGUCAAUACCCGGUAGCUUGACAUUACCUAUAGAAGAAGCACCGGCUAACUCCGUGCCAGCAGCCGCGGUAAU